This 194-nucleotide ribosomal RNA is filed under the name uncultured beta proteobacterium. RNAcentral's name for it is "partial 16S ribosomal RNA". It matches the Rfam family "Bacterial small subunit ribosomal RNA", at positions 338 to 524 of the family's 1533-position model. Lineage: Bacteria; Pseudomonadati; Pseudomonadota; Betaproteobacteria. The record is from RNAcentral.
CCUACGGGAGGCAGCAGUGGGGAAUUUUGGACAAUGGGAGAAAGCCUGAUCCAGCAAUGCCGCGUGUGGGAAGAAGGCCUUCGGGUUGUAAACCUCUUUUGUCCGGAACGAAAAGGUCUGCCCUAAUACGGUGGGCUCAUGACGGUACCGUAAGAAUAAGCACCGGCUAACUACGUGCCAGCAGCCGCGGUAAU